This 337-nucleotide long non-coding RNA is filed under the name Mus caroli (Ryukyu mouse). Its description in RNAcentral is "lncRNA (MGP_CAROLIEiJ_G0004947.1)". Lineage: Eukaryota; Metazoa; Chordata; Mammalia; Rodentia; Muridae. The record is from RNAcentral.
CGUUUUCUUAAACGGGCCUCAUCAUGGAAAGACAUGAAUCUUGGGAAACAGCUUCAGAAAAAUUUUUGCGAGCUUUUGCUGCUGCUGCUGCUGCUGCUGGUGGUGCUUCCUGGUGGAGGAGUUUGGCCGAGGCAGGGAUUCAAAGCGAUCCCUCAGGGUCAUGCUUCCCAGUUGUUUAUGGGUCUCCUUGAGAGCAACGGUUCUCACACUGGCGAGGUUCUCUAAAGAGGCAAGUGUUCUCCGAGCCCAUCCUGAUGGCAUAGAUUUCGGGCCACCCCAGUUCUGCAGAAUGCAUGUCUGGGAAUCUGCACUGCCACUCCGUUUACAGGCAGGCUUG